GGGAAGGUGGCUCAGUGGUAGAGCGCUUGCCUUGCAUGCUUGAGGCCCUGGGUUCGAUUCCUCAGGCAGUCCA
Dipodomys ordii (Ord's kangaroo rat) is the source of this 73-nucleotide non-coding RNA. The record is from Rfam. Lineage: Eukaryota; Metazoa; Chordata; Mammalia; Rodentia; Heteromyidae.